Molecule: unclassified non-coding RNA, 210 nt
Filed under: soil metagenome
Description: partial contains 5.8S ribosomal RNA, internal transcribed spacer 2, and large subunit ribosomal RNA
Source: RNAcentral
AACCUUAUGGACCUGCGGGCGUAUACCUGCGGAAGGAUCAUUACCGAGUUUACAACUCCCAAACCCCUGUGAACAUACCUAUAUGUUGCCUCGGCGGAUCAGCCCGCGCCCCGUAAAACGGGACGGCCCGCCGCAGGAUCCACAAACUCUGUUUUUAUUGUAACUUCUGAGUAACAAAACAAAUAAAUCAAAACUUUUAGCAAUGGAUCU